This 499-nucleotide ribosomal RNA is filed under the name uncultured bacterium. RNAcentral's name for it is "partial 16S ribosomal RNA". It matches the Rfam family "Bacterial small subunit ribosomal RNA", at positions 899 to 1397 of the family's 1533-position model. The record is from RNAcentral.
ACUCAAAGGAAUUGACGGGGGCCCGCACAAGCGGCGGAGCAUGCGGAUUAAUUCGAUGCAACGCGAAGAACCUUACCUGGGUUUGACAUGUGCACUGUGACUUCAGAGAUGGAGUUUCCCUUUGGGGGGUGUUCACAGGUGGUGCAUGGCUGUCGUCAGCUCGUGUCGUGAGAUGUUGGGUUAAGUCCCGCAACGAGCGCAACCCUCGUUCCAUGUUGCCAGCGCGUGAUGGCGGGGACUCAUGGGAGACUGCCGGGGUCAACUCGGAGGAAGGUGGGGAUGACGUCAAGUCAUCAUGCCCCUUAUGUCCAGGGCUUCACGCAUGCUACAAUGGCCGGUACAAUGGGUGGCGAUGCCGUGAGGUGGAGCGAAUCCCAAAAAGCCGGUCUCAGUUCGGAUCGCAGUCUGCAACUCGACUGCGUGAAGUCGGAGUCGCUAGUAAUCGCAGAUCAGCAACGCUGCGGUGAAUACGUUCCCGGGCCUUGUACACACCGCCCGU